CGCGUAGGCGGGCAAUUAAGUUGGGUGUUUAACCCUCAGGCUCAACCUGAGGUCUGCAUUCAAUACUGAUUGUCUUGAGUAUCGGAGGGGAAAGUGGAAUUCUUGGUGUAGCGGUGGAAUGCGUAGAUAUCAAGAGGAACACCAGUGGCGAAGGCGACUUUCUGGCCGAAUACUGACGCUAAAGCGCGAAAGCGUGGGGAGCAAACAGGAUUAGAUACCCUGGUAGUCCACGCUGUAAACGUUGUACACUAGAUGUUGGGGGUUUCAAUGCCUUCAGUGUCGCCGCUAACGCAUUAAGUGUACCGCCUGGGGAGUAUGCUCGCAAGAGUGAA
This 332-nucleotide ribosomal RNA is filed under the name uncultured bacterium. RNAcentral describes it as "bacterial SSU rRNA". It matches the Rfam family "Bacterial small subunit ribosomal RNA", at positions 568 to 898 of the family's 1533-position model. The record is from RNAcentral.